RNAcentral lists this ribosomal RNA (253 nucleotides) under uncultured bacterium. RNAcentral describes it as "partial 16S ribosomal RNA". It matches the Rfam family "Bacterial small subunit ribosomal RNA", at positions 524 to 776 of the family's 1533-position model. The record is from RNAcentral.
UACAGAGGUCUCAAGCGUUGUUCGGAUUCAUUGGGCGUAAAGGGUGCGUAGGCGGCGUCGUAAGUCGGGUGUGAAAUCUCGGGGCUCAACUCCGAAGUUGCAUUCGAUACUGCGGUGCUUGAGGACUGGAGAGGAGACUGGAAUUCACGGUGUAGCAGUGAAAUGCGUAGAUAUCGUGAGGAAGACCGGUGGCGAAGGCGGGUCUCUGGACAGUUCCUGACGCUGAGGCACGAAGGCCAGGGGAGCAAACGGG